RNAcentral lists this ribosomal RNA (465 nucleotides) under uncultured bacterium. RNAcentral's name for it is "bacterial SSU rRNA". It matches the Rfam family "Bacterial small subunit ribosomal RNA", at positions 338 to 795 of the family's 1533-position model. The record is from RNAcentral.
CCUACGGGAGGCAGCAGUAGGGAAUCUUCGGCAAUGGACGAAAGUCUGACCGAGCAACACCGCGUGAGUGAAGAAGGUUUUCGGAUCGUAAAACUCUGUUGGUAGAGAAGAGCGUUGGUGAGAGUGGAAAGCUCAUCAAGUGACGGUAACUACCCAGAAAGGGACGGCUAACUACGUGCCAGCAGCCGCGGUAAUACGUAGGUCCCGAGCGUUGUCCGGAUUUAUUGGGCGUAAAGCGAGCGGAGGUGGUUUAUUAAGUCUGGUGUAAAAGGCAGUGGCUCAACCAUUGUAUGCGUUGGAAACUGGUAGACUUGAGUGCAGGAGAGGAGAGUGGAAUUCCAUGUGUAGCGGUGAAAUGCGUAGAUAUAUGGAGGAACACCGGUGGCGAAAGCGGCUCUCUGGCCUGUAACUGACACUGAGGCUCGAAAGCGUGGGGAGCAAACAGGAUUAGGUACCCCAGUAGUC